UACGGAGGGGGCGAGCGUUAUUCGGAAUUAUUGGGCGUAAAGGGCGCGUAGGCGGCCCUGUAAGUCAAAGGUGAAAUCCCUCGGCUCAACUGAGGAACUGCCUUUGAAACUGCAGGGCUUGAGGCCGGGAGGGGGUAGCGGAAUUCCCAAUGUAGCGGUGAAAUGCGUAGAUAUCUGGAGGAAUACCGGUGGCGAAGGCGGCAUCCUGGACCGACAUUGACGCUGAACGGCGAAAGCUAGGGGAGCAAACGGG
Molecule: ribosomal RNA, 253 nt
Filed under: uncultured bacterium
Lineage: Bacteria
Description: partial 16S ribosomal RNA
Rfam family: Bacterial small subunit ribosomal RNA
Source: RNAcentral